GACGAACGCUGGCGGCGUGCCUAAUACAUGCAAGUAGAACGCUGAAGAGAGGAGCUUGCUCUUCUUGGAUGAGUUGCGAACGGGUGAGUAACGCGUAGGUAACCUGCCUUGUAGCGGGGGAUAACUAUUGGAAACGAUAGCUAAUACCGCCUAACAAUGGAUGACACAUGUCAUUUAUUUGAAAGGGGCAAUUGCUCCACUACAAGAUGGACCUGCGUUGUAUUAGCUAGUAGGUGAGGUAAUGGGCUACCUAGGCGACGAUACAUAGCCGGCCUGAGAGGGAGGACCGGCACAACUGGAACGGAAACAGGGCCAAGACUCUACGGGAAGGCAGAAGAGGGGAAUUUCGGCAAAGGGGGCAACGCUGACCGAAGAACGCCGCGGGAGUGGAGGAGGUUUUCGGAUCGGAAAGUUCUGUUGUAAGUCAAGAACAGGUGUGAGAGUGGAAAGUUCACACUGUGACGGUAGCUUAACAGAAAGGGACGGCUAACUACGUG
RNAcentral lists this ribosomal RNA (497 nucleotides) under uncultured bacterium. RNAcentral's name for it is "partial 16S ribosomal RNA". It matches the Rfam family "Bacterial small subunit ribosomal RNA", at positions 28 to 507 of the family's 1533-position model. The record is from RNAcentral.